AACGAGCGCUGGCGGCAUGCCUAACACAUGCAAGUCGAACGGGAUCCUGGUUUCGGCCAGGUGAGAGUGGCGGACGGGUGAGUAACGCGUGGGAACCUGCCCAGUGGUGGGGGAUAACUGCGGGAAACUGCAGCUAAUACCGCAUGAGCCCGCAAGGGGAAAGAUUGAUCGCCAUUGGAGGGGCCCGCGUUCGAUUAGGUAGUUGGUGAGGUAACGGCUCACCAAGCCUACGANCGAUAGCUGGUCUGAGAGGAUGAUCAGCCACACUGGGACUGAGAUACGGCCCAGACUCCUACGGGAGGCAGCAGUGGGGAAUAUUGGACAAUGGGGGCAACCCUGAUCCAGCAAUGCCGCGUGAGUGAUGAAGG
RNAcentral lists this ribosomal RNA (368 nucleotides) under uncultured bacterium. RNAcentral describes it as "bacterial SSU rRNA". It matches the Rfam family "Bacterial small subunit ribosomal RNA", at positions 29 to 414 of the family's 1533-position model. The record is from RNAcentral.